RNAcentral lists this long non-coding RNA (1053 nucleotides) under Pogona vitticeps (central bearded dragon). RNAcentral's name for it is "lncRNA (ENSPVIG00000010074.1)". Lineage: Eukaryota; Metazoa; Chordata; Lepidosauria; Squamata; Agamidae. The record is from RNAcentral.
AUGGAUGAGACACGGGGUUCACAACCACCACUGGUCCCUUCUGUUACCAACUCUCGGUUGCCAACACCUAAAUCUAAGACAAAAAUGCCUAAGUCUAAUAAGCCCUCGGAAUCGGCAUCUCAAUCGAUUCCAACACUGAAAUCCAGUCCGAAACCAGUCGGUACCAAACCAAAUAGUCUUCCAUCGACGCUCAGCCACCAGUACAACACCCUCCCGUGCAGGAUCAACCACCUAUCGAUCUUGAUACUGACCAUGAAUCCAUUCAACAACCUUGAAUUACUUGCGAUUUUCAAAGCAUUCCGCGCCUUCGAACCACUCAUUGCUGGCACCGCGGUGCAAGUGACCACAGACAAUACGACAGCUCUAUUACAUCAACAAACAGGGAGGUACACUCUACCCCUUCUGUAUCUUGCUGUCCAAUUUUGGGGACUGGUGCCUAAUUCACCAUAUCUUCCCCAUAGCGCUUCACAUUGCCACACAAUGCAGACUGAACUUUCAGAUGCACGAGUGGUCCGACAACACUAUUUUUUCCAGCUGUACACCAAAUGGGGUCGUCCAGACAUAGACGUUUUCACCACAGCAAUCAAUGCUAAAUGCAUCCAGUACUUCUCCAGGGCAGGCCUGGCCCGAGGCUCCCUCGGCAAUGCUGUAAUGGCAAACUGGAAUACGCAUUUCCUUUACCUCUUUCCACCGAUCCUACUUUUCCUGCGGACCAUUGUCAAAUUGCGACAGAACCGUUCAACGAUGCUCAGGUUGAUAGCCUCCCAAUCCAUCCAUCUAUUGCUGCUCCCACACCUUCUCACCCAGCAUCAGGGGCAAACUCUAGCACUGUUUUCUUUGUGCAAGCUCACAAGAGGAGAGGUUCCAGAUCACAUUGAGGCUCUUCUUGUGAGCAAGAAUGCUGGGUUCUUGCUUACAUGGAGGACGGAAACAGGGCCAGGAAACUCUCCUCUUCAGACUUAUUGGUCAUGUGAAGAAAGCAGCAACAGAGUGGGGUGGGGUAAGGUGAUCCCCACUAAAUUUCAUGAAGAAACUGGAUUCUAUAAUGCCUGA